Non-coding RNA from Sphingobacteriales bacterium BACL12 MAG-120813-bin55, 320 nucleotides. The record is from Rfam. Lineage: Bacteria; Pseudomonadati; Bacteroidota; Sphingobacteriia; Sphingobacteriales.
ACUGCAGGCCGGCCUGUCGCGUCCUAUGUAAAUGGGAUGAGGAAAGUCCGGAUAACACAGAGCGCCACACCACCUAACAGGUGGCGGCCCUUCGGGGUCAGAGAGAGUGCCACAGAAAAUUACAGCCUUGCCUGGCAGGGUGAUGGUGAAAACGUGGGGUAAGAGCCCACGAUGCAGUCUGGUAACAGGGUGCAUGGGUAAACCUUGUGGGUUACAAUGUCAAAUAUACCGGAGUAACAAGGAGGGUGGCUCGCCCGAAUCUUCGGUGGGUAGACAGCAAGAUCCUGCAUGCGAAUGCAGGACCAGAUAAAUGACAGGAC